Molecule: non-coding RNA, 345 nt
Organism: Xyrichtys novacula (pearly razorfish)
Lineage: Eukaryota; Metazoa; Chordata; Actinopteri; Labriformes; Labridae
Source: the annotation of a GenBank genome assembly
GUUUGCCUGGUCUGGUUUUACUCUCUUUCAGAGCUUCCUCCCCUCCCCCCGUCGCUGAGGCUGAGUGAGACUACACACCUGCGCUACAUCUACAAUCAAAGCACUUUAAGAAGCCUGCAGCCCUCAGUCUCAGCGCCUGAGUAUUGUCUUCACUUCCAAGUGGUACAAGACGCAUCUCCUGGCCUUCCUCUGUGUAUGAGUAUCAGUACUUUGCUCCUUGUGAUUCAUUGCAUGUUCGCUUACUUCCUUCUCCUCUGGUUUUUUCUGCAGUGUCUCCAGCCCACACGACAGCCAGCCAGCCAGCCAACCAGCCUACCAGACUUCCUCUUUUUGCAUUUAAAACCU